UUUUUUUUUUUACCUUUUUACCAUUCACAAAAAAAAUCAAUUCAUCGGCAGGUUUCUCUAAGUCCAUGUUGAGCAAAUGGUCACAGAUUCCGCAGAUGAAAACGUCCUUUGCUCUACACUAGCUUUUGAGGCACUAAAAUGUUUCCAGGCCAAUGUCUGAUCAUCAAUAAUUCAGCAGAGAGUAAGAUUUGAGCUAAUAAGUGAACAAGUUUGGAUUCUGUAAUAACUGUUGGGGAGGGAGGUAUAACCCAGCCCUUUCUAAAUCCA
Molecule: non-coding RNA, 267 nt
Organism: Pelobates cultripes (western spadefoot toad)
Lineage: Eukaryota; Metazoa; Chordata; Amphibia; Anura; Pelobatidae
Source: the annotation of a GenBank genome assembly